Molecule: ribosomal RNA, 458 nt
Filed under: uncultured bacterium
Lineage: Bacteria
Description: partial 16S ribosomal RNA
Rfam family: Bacterial small subunit ribosomal RNA
Source: RNAcentral
CCUACGGGAGGCAGCAGUGGGGAAUAUUGCACAAUGGGGGAAACCCUGAUGCAGCGACGCCGCGUGAGUGAAGAAGUAUUUCGGUAUGUAAAGCUCUAUCAGCAGGGAAGAAAUAGCGACCUUUGGGUCGCCAGACGGUACCUGACUAAGAAUCCCCGGCUAACUACGUGCCAGCAGCCGCGGUAAUACGUAGGGGGCAAGCGUUAUCCGGAUUUACUGGGUGUAAAGGGAGCGUAGACGGCAGCACAAGUCUGAAGUGAAAUGCCGGGGCUUAACCCCGGAACUGCUUUGGAAACUGUGCAGCUAGAGGGCAGGAGGGGGAAGUGGAAUUCCUGGUGUAGCGGUGAAAUGCGUAGAUAUUAGGAGGAACACCAGUGGCGAAGGCGGCUUACUGGACUGUAACUGACGUUGAGGCUCGAAAGCGUGGGGAGCAAACAGGAUUAGAUACCCCAGUAGUC